Molecule: non-coding RNA, 3642 nt
Organism: Podarcis lilfordi (Lilford's wall lizard)
Lineage: Eukaryota; Metazoa; Chordata; Lepidosauria; Squamata; Lacertidae
Source: the annotation of a GenBank genome assembly
GUUGCAGGCAGAAACCCAACCGGUGAAGCUAGCGCUGCGAAGUUGCCAGGAGACGGGCGGAAAUCCCACCGGUGAAGCUAGCAUGGCUGGCAACCUUCGUCGGUUCCCAACUUGCCAGUGCUUUGCCAGGCAGGAAUCCCACCGGAGCAGCUGGCUGGGAAAAGCCAGGUAGAAAUCCCACCGGUGGAGUUUGGACGCAGCGGAUUAGGGGCGGAAAUGGCACCGGUGCAGCUGGUGUUGGGAAUUCCAGGAAGGAAGAAGGCAGGAAUCACACCGGUGCAGCUCGGUGGGGAAAGCCAGGUAGAAAUCCCACCGGUGGAGUUUGGGUGGAGCUGCGGGCGGAAAUCCCACCGGCGAAGCUAGUAUUGGGAAAUUGGCGGCAGACGGGCAGAAAUCCCAAUGGUGCAGCUAGUAUUGGGAAUGAUGGGAAUGGGCUCAAGUUCCCAAGGUUGCCAGCAGACAGGCGGAAAUCACACUGGUGCAGCUAGUAUUGGGAAUUGGGGUGGAGUCGCAGGCAGAAACCCAACCGGUGAAGCUAGCCUGCAGUUUUCAAGGUUGCCAGCAGAGGAACGAAGCAGGUAGGAAUCCCACCGGUGCAGCUCGGUGGGGAAAAGCCAGGUAGAAAUCCCACCGGUGGAGUUUGGGUAGAGUUGCGGGCGGAAAUCCCACGGGUGAAGCUGGUAUUGGAAAUGGGUUGCCAGCAGACAGGCGGAAAUCCCACUGGUGCAGCUCGGUGGGAAAAGCCAGGUAGAAAUCCCACCGGUGGAGUUUGGGUGGAGUUGCGGGCGGAAAUCCCACUGGUGAAGCUAGCGCUGGGAAAGGGGUUGCAAGGCUUGCCAACAGACGGGCAGAAAUCCAACCAGUGAAGCUAGCGCUGGGAAAUGGCCAGGAGACAGGCAGAAAUCGCAAUGGUGCAGCUAGUAUUGGGAAUUUGGGUGGAUGGUCUGCAAUUCUCAAGGUUGCCAGCCGAGGAAGGAAGCAGGCAGGAAUCACACCGGUGCAGCUCCGUAGGAAAAGCCAGGUAGAAAUUCCCCCGGUGGAGUUCCAGGCGGGAAUCCCACUGGUGUAGUUUGUGCUGGGAAAUUGCCAGGAGACAGGUAGAAAUCGCACCGGUGCAGCUUGGUGGGGAAAAGCCAGGUAGAAAUCCCACCGGUGGAGUUUGGGUGGAGUUCCAGGCAGAAAUCCCACUGGUGUAGUUAGCUCUGGGAAAGUGGCAGGAGACAGGCAGAAAUCGCACUGGUGCAGCUUGGUUGAGAAAUGCCAGGUAGAAAUCCCACCGGUGGAGUUUCGGUGGAGUUCCAGGCGGAAAUCCCACUGGUGAAGCUAGUAUUGGAAAUGGGUUGCCAGCAGACAGGCGGAAAUCCCACUGGUGAAGCUAGUAUUGGAAAUGGGUUGCCAGCAGACAGGCGGAAAUCACACUGGUGCAGCUCGGUGGGGAAAAGCCAGGUAGAAAUCCCACCGGUGGAGUUUGGGGGGAGUUGCGGGCGGAAAUCCCACCGGUGAAUCUAGUGCUGGGAAAUUGCCUGCCAGGGUGACCAGAAGACAGGCAGAAAUUGCAAUGGUAAAGCUAGUAUUGGGGAAAACUAGCAGGAGGCAGGCAGGAAUAACACCGGUGCAGCUGGGUGGGGAAAAAGGCAGGUAGAAAUCCCACCGGUGGAGUUUGGAUGCAGAGGAUUCCGGGCGGCAAUGCCACCGGCAAAGCUAGCGCUGGGAUAUUGCCAGGAGACGGGCAGAAAUCGCACUGGUGCAGCUACUAUGGGGAAUUUGGGUGGAGUGGCAGGCGGAAAUCUCACCGGCGAAGCUAGCGCUGGGAAAUGGGCUGCCGGCAGACAAGCGGAAAUCGCACUGGUGCAGCUCGGUGGGGUAAAGCCAGGUAGAAAUCCCACCGGUGGAGUUUGGGUGGAGUUGCGGGCGGAAAUCCCACCGGCGAAGCUAGUAUAGGAAAUGGGUUGCCAGCAGACAGGCGGAAAUCACACUGAUGCAGCUCGGUGGGAAAAGCCAAAGCAGGGCUUUGCCAGGCAGGAAUAACACCGGUGCAGCUUGGUGGGGAAAGCCAGGUAGAAAUCCCACUGGUGGAGUUUGGGUGGAGUUCCAGGCGGAAAUCCCACUGGAGAAGCUAGCACUGGGAAAUGGGUUGCCAGGGUUGCCAGCAGACGGGCAGAAGUCCAACCGGUGAAGCUAGCGCUGGGAAAUUGCCAGGAGACGGGCAGAAAUCACAAUGGUGCAGUUAGUAUUGGGGGGAAACGGCCUGCAGUUCUCAAGGUUGCCAGCCAAGGAAGGAAGCAGGCAGGAAUCACACCGGUGCAGCUCGGUAGGAAAAGCCAGGUAGAAAUCCCACCGGUGGAGUUUGGGUGGAGUUCCGGGCGGAAAUCCCCCUGGUGUAGUUUGGGCUGGGAAAUUGCCAGGAGACAGGUAGAAAUCGCACCGGUGCAGCUUGGUGGAGAAAAGCCAGGUAGAAAUCCCACCGGUGGAGUUUGGAGGCAGAGGAUUACGGGCGGAAAUCCCACUGGUGUAGUUAGCUCUGGGCAUUUGGGUGGAGGGUCUGCAGUUCUCAAGCUGGCCAGAAGACGGGCAGAAAUCUUAAUGGUGCAGCUAUGAUUAAGAAUUGGGGGGGGCGGCCUGCAGUUCCCAAGGUGGCCGGAAGACGGGCGGAAAUCCCACCGGUGCAGCUGCUAUUGCUGGCACCCUUGCGCACGGCGAAGCAGUGCCUGGCGAGGCAGCAAACUCACCGGUGGAGCUCAGUGGGGGAAAAGUCAGGUAGAAAUCCCCCUGGUGGAGUUUGGGUGGAGUUGCGGGCGGAAAUCCCAGCGGUGAAGCCAGUGCUGGGAAUUUGGGUGGAGUUGCAGGCAGAAAGCCAACCGGUGAAGCUAGCGCUGGGAAGUUGCCGGGAGACGGGCGGAAAUCCCACCGGCGAAGCUAGCGCUGGGGAAUUGCCACCAGACGGGCGGAAAUCGCACUGGUGCAGCUACUAUUGGGAAUUGGGGUGGAGUGGCAGGCGGAAAUCCCACCGGUGAAGCUAGUGCUGGGAAUUUGGGUGGAGUUGCAGGCAGAAAGCCAACCGGUGAAGCUAGCGCUGUGAAGUUGCCGGGAGACGGGCGGACAUCGCACUGGUGCAGCUACUGCUGGGAAUUGGGGUGGAGUGGCAGGAGGAAAUCUGACCGGCGAAGCUAGCGCUGGGAAAUUGCCGGGAGACGGGCGGAAAUCGCACUGGUGCAGCUAGUAUUGGGAGUUUGGGUGGAGUGGCAGGCGGAAAUCCCACCGGUGAAGCUAAUGCUGGGAAAUGGGUUGGAAGGGUGGCCAGCGGACAGGCGGAAAUCACCAUGGUGCAGCUAGUAUUGGGAGUUUGGGUGGAGUUGCAGGCAGAAACCCAACCGGUGAAGCAAACGCUGUGAAGUUGCCAGGAGACGGGCGGAAAUCCCACCGGUGAAGCUAGCAUGGCUGGCAACCUUCGUCAGUUCCCAACUUGCCAGGCAGGAAUCCCACCGGAGCAGCUUGCUGGGAAAAGCCAGGUAGAAAUCCCACCGGUGGAGUUCGGACGCAGCGGAUUACGGGCGGAAAUCGCACCGGUGCAGCUGGUAUUGGGAAUCCCAGGAAGGAAGAAGGCAGAAAUAACACCGGUGCAGCUCCGUGGGAAAAGCCAGG